This 1771-nucleotide long non-coding RNA is filed under the name Serinus canaria (Common canary). Its description in RNAcentral is "lncRNA (ENSSCAG00000008368.1)". The record is from RNAcentral. Lineage: Eukaryota; Metazoa; Chordata; Aves; Passeriformes; Fringillidae.
CGCAGGGCUCUGUGCCCUGUCCCCGUGCUGGGGACACUGCCCCGUCCCCUGACGCUGUCCUUGUCCCCAGGCCCUCCUGUGGGACUCCUUCCAGCGGGUGCAGCAGCAGCUCCUCAAGCGCCAGCCCUUGGCCGACCCCCCCGUGCUCCCCCCCGGCCACCGGCCCCUGUCCCGGGCCCAGUCGUCCCCGGCCACGGCCACCGUGUCCCUCCCUGCCCAGGACACCAAGGCGCUGGCCCUGCCCGUGCAGGAGCAGCCGCCCAAGCCGCACUUCACCACAGGGCUGGUUUAUGACUCGGUGAUGCUGAAGCACCAGUGCUCCUGCGGGGACAACAGCAACCACCCCGAGCACGCGGGCAGGAUCCAGAGCAUCUGGUCCCGGCUGCAGGAGCGGGNNNNNNNNNNNNNNNNNNNNGGGCCUGCGCAGCCGCUGCGAGGUGAGCUCAGAGGGCUGGGCCCUCCUCCAUCCCUCCUGAACCCAUCCCAUCCCUCCUGAACCCAUCCCAUCCCUCCUGAACCCAUCCCAUCCCUCCCGAUCCCAUCCCAUCCCUCCUGAUCCCAUCCCAUCCCUCCUGAUUCCAUCCCAUCCCUCCUGAGCCCAUCCCACUCCUCCUGAUCCCAUCCCAUCCCAUCCCACUCCUCCCGAUCCCAUCCCUCCCCUCCUCCCCCAGUUUGCCACCCUGUCCUCGGUGGUUUCCCUGCUGUGCCCAUCUCCCCCGGGGUUGGGGCUCUGCUGGAUGCUGGGCACAGGGAGGGGCUGCUCCCCCCAAACCAGCGAGCUCUGCCAGGCCCAGCCUAGUAAAACCCAGCUCUGGGCUGCCUCUGGCUCCCUGGCUGCACUUUGGGGCUGCUCAAGUGCCAGCCCGGGGGUCCUGCAGGGGGACAGCAGGACGGUGUCCCCCCGGGUGUCCCCCCGGGUGACAGCCGUGUCCCCCGAGUGCCUGCGGGGCCGCAAGGCCACCCGUGGAGGAGCUGCAGUGCGUGCACAGCGAGCGCCACGUGCUGCUCUACGGCACCAACCCCCUCAACCGCCUCAAACUGGACAACGGCAAGCUGGCAGGGAUCCUGUCCCAGAGGACGUUUGUGAUGCUGCCCUGCGGAGGGGUGGGGGUGAGUGUUCCACCCCUGAGCCGGGUUUUGGGGUCACUGCUGAAUCCCUGCUCUGGGUUUUGGGGUCACUGCUGAAUCCCUGCUCUGGGUUUUGGGGUCACUGCUCUGCCCUUUGGGCUGGGCUGUUCCCUUUUGUCCCCUCAGGAUCUCGGGGCAGCUCCCGAAGCCUCUGGGCAGCCUGGGUGGGGGUGUUUGAUGGAAGUGUUGGAUCAGAGCAGCUUGGGGUCCUUGGGGAUGUCUGAGCGUCCCACUCAGCAAGGGGAUCCUGGAUCAGAGCCCCCCGAGGGGCUGGCAGGCGGAGGUCCCCACUGCGGGAGGGCAGCAGUGACACAGGGACAGCAGCACCCUCUCCAUUCCCAGCUUUCCCUCCUGGUUUCUCUGCAUUCACUGCCUCCUCCUCUCCUCCUGUCCCUGUCCCUGUCCUGUCCCUGUCCCUGUCCCUGUCCCUGUCCCUGUCCCUGUCCCUGUCCUCUCCCUGUCCCUGUCCUCUCCCUGUCCUGUCUCUCUCUUUCAGGAAGGGGCUCCCUCGGUGCCUUCCUGCUGCCUCUUCUGGUUCUGCUCCUCUCCUUGCCGGCCGUGCUGGGCCCAGCUCUGCUUUCCCUGCUCUGCCUCCUUUCCCUGCUCUGUUCCCGGGGCUGCAGCUGCCCCCCCGGGCACGGGG